This 374-nucleotide ribosomal RNA is filed under the name uncultured bacterium. Its description in RNAcentral is "bacterial SSU rRNA". It matches the Rfam family "Bacterial small subunit ribosomal RNA", at positions 30 to 406 of the family's 1533-position model. The record is from RNAcentral.
AUUGAACGCUGGCGGCAUGCCUUACACAUGCAAGUCGAACGGCAGCACGGGGCAACCUGGUGGCGAGUGGCGAACGGGUGAGUAAUGCAUCGGAACGUGCCAUUGAGUGGGGGAUAACGUAGCGAAAGUUGCGCUAAUACCGCAUAUUCUGUGAGCAGGAAAGCAGGGGACCGCAAGGCCUUGCGCUCUUUGAGCGGCCGAUGUCAGAUUAGCUAGUUGGUGAGGUAACGGCUUACCAAGGCGACGAUCUGUAGCGGGUCUGAGAGGAUGAUCCGCCACACUGGAACUGAGACACGGUCCAGACUCCUACGGGAGGCAGCAGUGGGGAAUUUUGGACAAUGGGCGCAAGCCUGAUCCAGCCAUGCCGCGUGAGU